RNAcentral lists this long non-coding RNA (1982 nucleotides) under Helianthus annuus (common sunflower). RNAcentral describes it as "hypothetical non coding rna". Lineage: Eukaryota; Viridiplantae; Streptophyta; Magnoliopsida; Asterales; Asteraceae. The record is from RNAcentral.
GUGUCACAUGCCCCUUUAAGGACUAUUACAUUAUAUAACUAAUUAGAUUACUUAACAUAUAUUUAGCUAUCAGACCUGAUGCCAGUCUCUGAGGAGGGGUGAGGUGGGCAAAGGCCCAGGACUUGGUCUCCUCGGGCCUUGAAAUUAAAAAAAACAAUAAUUUAUAUUAUGAAGGCGGCAUAUGACAUUAUCUAAUUUAAUGGAUUAAGGGUAUGUAAUAAGGUAAUUAACUUUAAAAAUCAAUUAAAAGAUAAAAUAGAUUGUAACCGGUUUAUGAAUUAUUUUAGAAGAUAAUUGACGAGGUAUGACCCGAAUCGGCUAAUCCGACCCGGUCAAUACCUACUAUUUUAUUAUAAACAAAUAAUCAUAAAAGGUUAUUCUAGAAUAUUCCACCUUUGCGUGGAAGCUGGCACAACCAAAUCUCCAACUUUUCGGGAAGAUCAUGCAAAUCCCUAACUUAUCGGGGCCCAUCCUAAGUUAGGGAAAACCCUAAUAGGAAACUAUAAAUAGAGGUAAACAUCCAAGGUAUGAUUCAUCUAAUCUCUCACCAUCUCUCUUUAUACUUACAUACUUUCCUUUGCUCCCAAAACCGAGACUUAUUCUCACGCCAGAGGGUGCCAAUUGUUCGGGUCACUGAUCAUUGAAGUCCUAGCCAAAUACUACCGUUUAGGUAUAAACUCCAUAUGAAUUUAAAAAAUACCAUGACUUGAAUCGUAAAAUAGUCAUAAUGUUUUAACAUCUGGAAUGAUUGUAUUGCUGUUCAAGUUAUAGUGUUUUAACAUCAUAUGAGGAUGAUUGUAUUGCUAUUCCAGAUGUUAAAACACAAUGACUUGAAUAACAAUACAAUCAUUCCAGAUGUUUAAACACCGUGACUUGAAUCACAAUACAGUGUUUCCAAAAGUUUAAAAUAUCACGCCUUGAAUCACAAUACAAUUAAAACACCAUUGUAUCAAUGAACAUAGACAAAACACCAUGGACUAAAACAUCCGAUUGAAACGUAAUUUUUUCUCUAUAUAAGUAAAGCAAUAUGGUAUUCAUAUUAAAAAUAAAAAAACGCUCAUUACUAUGGUGUAUUUUUUUAAGUUACAUCUAAAAAGCUUUUAACGUUUAAAAAAGACGGGGGAACUUGCAUGUGCAUUGCGUGUGAGUUUCUGAAUUUAAAACAUGCUAAAUUUACCUUUAUACCAUUAAUCUGGAAAAUUAAUUAGUUUAAUGAUAAACAUUAUUUACAGUUUUGUCAUUAUGAUCUCAACCAUUAGAUUCUAGAUCCAAGAGUGUAAAACACUUCUUACACACAACACACUUUUUAGGAUAACUCCAACUAUAUAUAUAGAGAGAGAGCAGGGAUCCUGCGGAAAGUGUGUUUUUCCUAGAAAGUCUAGGAAGCGAUCUAAGCCAUCCAAUGGGUGUGUUUAAUGGUUAAGAUGAAGCCAAUGACAAUCUUGUAAUUUUUUAGUUUAUUUAAUUCAUUGUUUUAAAAGACUAGGGACAAUUUUGUCAAUAUAUCGUGUUUUAAAUCAAUUAGAUAACCGUCAGUCAAACCCAGUCCCUAAUUUCACGCGAUUUUCCAUCUCUCUCUCCAAACCCAUCUUCGAAAAACCAAUCCCUACAAAAAAUAACUACAAUCAUAGAAGAAGAUAACUUUAGAAAGGAUGGAGAGCACCGGAUCAAAUGAAAACACUUCUCCAUCUCCACCAUCUCCGAGUUCAUCGUCACCAUUCAAAUAUUGUUCGUAUCAUCUCCGUUUUCUUGACGAUGUGUUUUAACAGCAAGCAAAUUAAUACAGUUGUGUUUUAGCAGCAAGCAGAUUCAUACAGUUGUGUUUUAACAUUCAGAUUCAUACAGUUAUGUUUUAACAACAAGCAGAUUCAUACAGUUGUGUUUUAGCAUUCAGAUUCAUACAGUUGUGUUUUAACAGCAAGCAGAUUCAUACAGUUGUGUUUUAACAGUAAGCAGAUUUAUACAGUUGUGUUUUAGCAUUC